CGGGGUGUGGCGCAGCCCGGGAGCGCACUUGCAUGGGGUGCAAGGGGCCGUCGGUUCAAAUCCGACCACCCCGACCA
RNAcentral lists this transfer RNA (77 nucleotides) under Chloroflexota bacterium. Its description in RNAcentral is "tRNA-Pro". It matches the Rfam family "tRNA". From Rfam's summary of the family: Transfer RNA (tRNA) molecules are approximately 80 nucleotides in length. Their secondary structure includes four short double-helical elements and three loops (D, anti-codon, and T loops). RNAcentral also lists the same sequence under 1 other name. Lineage: Bacteria; Bacillati; Chloroflexota. The record is from RNAcentral.